AUGUCGAACUGUGGCCGCGCAAGUGAUUCUAAAUUUGAGUGUUGGAAUGAUAGUAAUCUUUGUAAAUGGAAAUAUGUAAUCACAAAUUGUAAUUCAUUUGUGUAUAUAUUUGUAUGCAGUUCUCGGGAAUUAUAUUUGAUCCCUUUUUCUUACUUUUGUACUUUGAGCCUACUCAGUGUGGUUCACUUUAAAAUUGUUACAGAUAUGUCAAAUGUCAUAAAAGGUUUUGUUUGCUAA
Vicia faba (fava bean) is the source of this 237-nucleotide non-coding RNA. Lineage: Eukaryota; Viridiplantae; Streptophyta; Magnoliopsida; Fabales; Fabaceae. The record is from the annotation of a GenBank genome assembly.